AACGUAGGACACAAGCGUUAUCCGGAGUUACUGGGCGUAAAGGGCGUUUAGGCGGGUGAUUAAGUUCGCUAUGAAAGCGCCGGGCUAAACUCGGCGAGGCUGGCGGAUACUGGUCAUCUGGAGUGAGUCAGAGGAAGGUAGAAUUCCGCGUGUAGUGGUGAAAUGCGUAGAGAUCGGGAGGAACAUCAGUUGCGAAGGCGGCUCUCUGGACCAGCACUGACACUGAGGCACGAAAGCGUGGGGAGCAAACAGG
Molecule: ribosomal RNA, 253 nt
Filed under: uncultured bacterium
Lineage: Bacteria
Description: partial 16S ribosomal RNA
Rfam family: Bacterial small subunit ribosomal RNA
Source: RNAcentral